Molecule: long non-coding RNA, 1019 nt
Organism: Rosa chinensis
Lineage: Eukaryota; Viridiplantae; Streptophyta; Magnoliopsida; Rosales; Rosaceae
Exons: 5
Source: RefSeq, a predicted model, not a curated record
GUAGCUUUGAGAAGCUGCUUUGGGAAAACACGGAGGAGCUACAGUGCAAUGUUUAAUGAAAUUUGACUUCAUGCCAAUUAUGUCCUCCUCCUUUUCUGAUAAUUACAUCGAAACAACAGAACCCUAUCUUUUCUCCAUCUCUUUGCCGUCAUUUUCAUUAUCACUCCACAUCUCUUCAUCUCCUCCUUCCUCUUCUUCAAUUCGUGGAUUCUCGCCGGCCUCACCUCCUUCAAUUCGUGAGUUUCAUCUCUUUGCCGUCAUUAUCGUUAUUAUUCCACAUCUCCUCCUUCCUCUUCUUCAAUUCGUGGAUUCUCUCUACAAUUUGGGUAUUCUGGGUUAUGCUUCUUCUCUAAAGAUAAUCUAUCAAACAGAACUCUAUUCCUCUGAUUCCUCCAUAGCUGCACAAAAAGGAGUAAGGAGAAUUCUUGUACAUCUCAACAUUGGAUAAUUCGAUCCUCAUCGAACUUCUCCUCCUUCUCUCUCUGCUAUCACUAAAAGCAUCUGUUAAUGGCAUAUUAUAUGCAGCAUCUGUUAAUGGCAUAUUAUAUGCAGCAUCUGUGUGUGAUUUUGGAGUUGUUAUGCUCGAAUUGUUAUAACCAGUUAUUGACACCAAUCGGCCAACCAGGGAACAGGAUCUAGUUGAAUGGGCCAAACCAUACCUUGCCAGCAAAUACCUCACAGAACAAAGCAUAAGGGAUGAUUUGGAAUCACUUGGUUAUGUGGUUAUGUAUUUCCUAAGAGGAAGGUAAAACUUUCCAGGUGAUGACAAACCAAGAAGUUGUGGAUGCCAUAAAAAAUAUAAAGGAUUCUCGGGCAGCAGCAAAGCACCUUACUGAAGAGCCAGUCAAUAAGAAGAGCUCGGACGAUAUUUCCUGUGUAGUUGUAAGAUUUCGGUGAAUGUAUAAUUUCUGUCUGGCAUGUUUGUUGUCUGAUUGUACCUCGUUUAACAAUGUCUCAGAUAUGUUUUUAUAAAACACCUAUGGAAUUGAAGUGUGCUUCAUCAGUGUGGUAUUCCCUUA